GGCUAGCCCAAGUGCCGUCAUGUUUACAACUGAUUGAUCACAAGCAAUUGCAAAUUUCUUUGUUCCUUCUCCACUCUCACUGCUUCAUUUGACUAGCCUUAA
Colobus angolensis palliatus is the source of this 102-nucleotide unclassified non-coding RNA. It matches the Rfam family "Y RNA". From Rfam's summary of the family: Y RNAs are components of the Ro ribonucleoprotein particle (Ro RNP), in association with Ro60 and La proteins. The Y RNAs and Ro60 and La proteins are well conserved, but the function of the Ro RNP is not known. The record is from Ensembl. NCBI's taxonomy places the organism in Eukaryota, Metazoa, Chordata, Mammalia, Primates, Cercopithecidae.